This is a long non-coding RNA of Populus nigra (black poplar), 1006 nucleotides long. RefSeq lists it as uncharacterized. NCBI's taxonomy places the organism in Eukaryota, Viridiplantae, Streptophyta, Magnoliopsida, Malpighiales, Salicaceae. The record is from RefSeq and is a predicted model, not a curated record. The transcript is spliced from 3 exons.
GCAAGCCUGGAGCCCAUGGAAUAGACCAGAAAAUCAACGUCUCUCUCUCUUCCCCAGGUCACCCCUCAAUCUUAACUCCCUGUUUGGUUUCCGAGAAAAUAAAUAUAAACAAAUAGAAAUUGCAAGCGAGCAAUUCUCAGAUGUUAGCUUCGAAGUUGGCAAAUCUUCGGUCCAUGUGCUUGACCACAAAAUUGCAUUUCAGAACUUCCAAAAUACGAUGCCGAUUCAUAACAAUUGAGCUUAACUCAACAUUCAUUUUAACUUCAAGGGAACAAUGGGUUCUUGAGCAAUUCUGAGAUAGCUGAAGCAGAGAUGACAAAAUCGCAACUUGUUGCUGCAAAGGAGGAUUUGGACACAAGUUUGGUUUCUAACUACAAAUUGACAUCACAUUUGCAGAAGGAGCUUGAUAAUGUAUUGAUCAUAAGAAAUCAAAAGGAGUAGGAAAGUUUCCCAGUUUCAGUGAAGACGAAGGUUCAAUCAAGUAAAACAAUCACAUGAACUCAUGUGCUCUUCUCAGAGUAGACCCGUAUUCAUCAACAAGCUUGCUUGCGAUAACAGCUUGAGUAGCAAAAGCUGCAUCCCACAACUGACUGCCAAUACUCUGUUGAAAGCAAACAAGUCCAAGGUUUACGUACGUUUUAGUUACUGAUAUUUUCUUUUAAAAAAUAAUAUUACUGCGGCUGAAUCACAGCUUAUUAACACUAAACCUGCAUUUUCAUUCCAUCUUCUGCAAGCCAUAGAACAUCAGGAACUCUAGCAAGGUGAAAUUUGAACGCAUCUGAAGUCGGGUCUUCUGCCCAGCAAGCCAUCAUGUUCAAGGACUGAAAGUAUCCAACAGUCAUUAUUCAUAAUGUAGCAUAACAAGAACUCAAACGAAUCUAGUCUAGUAUGAAUUUUUCAAUCGAUAUUCUUAUAGCAUCUUGAUCUCAGAAAUCAAACUUCAUUACUUCAGUAUCUGAAUGAUUCAAUCCACCUAUGUUCUACAGGAAUACCUUUUCAAUACUAG